This is a long non-coding RNA of Melanotaenia boesemani (Boeseman's rainbowfish), 2109 nucleotides long. RefSeq lists it as uncharacterized. The record is from RefSeq and is a predicted model, not a curated record. The transcript is spliced from 2 exons. NCBI's taxonomy places the organism in Eukaryota, Metazoa, Chordata, Actinopteri, Atheriniformes, Melanotaeniidae.
CGGCCCUGAAACACACACACACGCAGUCACAUCUGAAUCACAUGACCUGGCAGCAGUAUGAGGUUCUGUUCAGUUCUGGUGGGAACACUCAGUGUCCAUAAAUGUGAUUUACUCUGGUAAACGUGUACUGUAGUGAGACGAAUUCUUCUCUGAAUUAUUUGAUGUUAAAAGGGGUUGAUGGAAUUUUCUAAUAACGAAACAUCUCUGUAGUUGCUACACAGAGGCCAGUUAGUUACGUUUGUUCUGAAAAACAUGGGGAAAUUAACCUCAUCCAUCCAUCCAUCAACAGUGCUACAUGCAGCCAACACCUCCACUUUUUCUCCCUCUGUACCUGGACAGUGUCCACCUGCAGCACCUCUCCUCUUCAGAUCGCCUCAUCACCUCUGCUUCUGUGUUCUGAUUGGUUCUCAGCGGAGAACCACAAGGCCCAGACCUCGGUGAAGAUAUGGUCAUGGUUGUGGCUCUCAGACCGCGGAGGAUUAACUCUAUAAAAUAUAACUAGUUGUUUUAAACUAACUUGACAAACUCAGAACCACCCAGAAUCUGGAUCAGAACCAUUCUGAGCUGCUCCUGGUUCUAAGAACUAAGACAGAAACUAAAAAGUCCUCAGAGAGCACAAACAACAAGUUUGAAGAAGCGUCAGGACACCAGCUGGUUCCUGUAGAACCACCUGCUGAAUGUGGGCCGUCUUUAUUUCUCUAAAACCAAAAUGGUAAAAAAAUAAAAGGUGAAAGAGCUCAAAGAAAGAACUGAAACCAAUCAGCUGAUCUGAUCUGUGUUUCAGAGCAGGAUUAAUAAUCAUACGAGGACCAGAAAAUCCGUCCAGACCCACUGGGACAUGUUGAAACCUAAACGUUGGGACACAGGAAGUGUGUGUGUGUGUCUGUGUCUGUGUGUAAAAUGUGCUUGUUCUGCUACUUUUAGGACGAUACCAUAAUUUUUCAACCUUUGAAAUGAGGAAUUUUUUGCAAAGUGAGGACAUUGUGGCACUCUAAUGUCCUCCAGAGGUUAUUUAUUGGCUUCUCUCUAAGUUUCAGACAGGUCCUCAAAAAGGUUUUAGAGUGCAAAAAAGCAGCUACAUAUCAAAUGUGUGUAUGUGCAUAUAUACAACCGACUAUGGGCGAUGAAUUUAACACACUGUACUCAGUGUGUGUGUGUGUGUGAACCCUGCAGGAACACUUCCAGACCAGUACCUCGGUGAAGUUGAUCUUCUCUCCAGAGAACAUCUUGUCUCGGGCCUCCUCCACUCCCCUGGACUUGGCCUGAACAAACACAGACAGUGUAAAUAAAUAAAAAACUAAAGACUUGGUUUUGUGGUUUUGUUUAUGGAUUGAACCUGGUUCAGAUAAUCCAGGUUUCUGACUGAGCUCAGCUCACUUAUGGACCCGAUGAGGUCUGGUUCCUCUGUGGCGUGAGGAGGAAGGAGUGUGUUAUCAGGAGUGUGUGGACACACCUGAUGUUGACACUGUCUCAACACAUGUGUUGUAAUCUUCCUGUUUAACUGAAACUUUGAGCAACAGAUUUCAUGUUGACCCAGCAGCUCCUGGUCCAGGUCCGGACCAGAUAAGGCACGCCAGACCCGGCCCCCACUCCUCACCUCACAGCUCCGCCCUCUGCAGGGUCACAUAGGGGACACUCACCAUAGCGAGCAGCAUGGACAAGAUGUCCUCAGUGAUGAGGUUCUUGGAGAAGUCCACCAGGAUGUCCCCGUCAUCAGUCUUCAGAGUGGUGCUGUCAAUAUCCAGAGAGACCUUCAUCAAACUUCAUUUAAAACAACGUUCACUAACAAAUACAACCAAACAUGAGGACGGAGCUGUCCAGAGGCCUGUUGACACAACCAGGCCAGAACACUGACCAUAAACUCAGUCACAUGAUCCCAUCACCAGCUGCACAUGCUCAGUGUGGUCCUAAUCAUGUUUCAUUAACUGGACUGAAUGUUUCCAUCAAAGUCACUCAGUUUUUAAAAUUGAUAACCAGGAGCUAUUCCUCAGGGUUCUGUGGUUCUGCUGGUUGGAAAGCCUGAUCAGUCACCACUGCCUGGCCAAGCCUUUUAAGGGCCCUAAGCAGAAUAAAAUUUGAAGGGGGGGGAUUGUGUCAAUGAAAUAAAUA